This 256-nucleotide ribosomal RNA is filed under the name uncultured prokaryote. RNAcentral's name for it is "partial 16S ribosomal RNA". It matches the Rfam family "Bacterial small subunit ribosomal RNA", at positions 521 to 776 of the family's 1533-position model. The record is from RNAcentral.
UAAUACGUAGGGGGCAAGCGUUGUCCGGAUUUAUUGGGCGUAAAGCGCGCGCAGGCGGUCCUUUAAGUCUGAUGUGAAAGCCCACGGCUCAACCGUGGAGGGUCAUUGGAAACUGGGGGACUUGAGUGCAGAAGAGGAAAGCGGAAUUCCACGUGUAGCGGUGAAAUGCGUAGAGAUGUGGAGGAACACCAGUGGCGAAGGCGGCUUUCUGGUCUGUAACUGACGCUGAGGCGCGAAAGCGUGUGGAGCAAACAGG